Molecule: ribosomal RNA, 524 nt
Filed under: uncultured bacterium
Lineage: Bacteria
Description: bacterial SSU rRNA
Rfam family: Bacterial small subunit ribosomal RNA
Source: RNAcentral
GAAAGCGAUGCUAAUACCGAAUGACAUCUCAAUAACUCCGGUCUUUGAGAUCAAAGGUGGCCUCUCCAUGGAAGCUACUGUUUGGAGAUGAGCCCGCGUACCAUUAGCUUGUUGGUAGGGUAAUGGCCUACCAAGGCAACGAUGGUUAGCUGGUCUGAGAGGAUGAUCAGCCACACUGGAACUGACACACGGUCCAGACUCCUACGGGAGGCAGCAGUGAGGAAUUUUGCGCAAUGGGGGAAACCCUGACGCAGCAACGCCGCGUGAGUGAUGAAGGCUUUCGGGUCGUAAAGCUCUGUCAAGUGAGAAGAACCUGUCCUUUGCUAAUAUCAUAGGGCACUGACGGUAUCACUGAAGGAAGCACCGGCUAACUCCGUGCCAGCAGCCGCGGUAAUACGGAGGGUGCAAGCGUUAUUCGGAAUCACUGGGCGUAAAGAGCGCGUAGGCGGUUUCUAAAGUCAGAUGUGAAAGCCCGGGGCUCANCCCCGGAAGUGCAUUUGAAACUUAAGGGACUUGAGUAUGGG